Molecule: ribosomal RNA, 637 nt
Filed under: uncultured bacterium
Lineage: Bacteria
Description: bacterial SSU rRNA
Rfam family: Bacterial small subunit ribosomal RNA
Source: RNAcentral
AAGCGAUUCCGGCGGGGGAUGGGCAUGCGGCGCAUUAGCUAGUCGGCGGGGUAACGGCCCACCGAGGCGACGAUGCGUAGGGGUUCUGAGAGGAAGGUCCCCCACACUGGUACUGAGACACGGACCAGACUCCUACGGGAGGCAGCAGUGAGGAAUAUUGGUCAAUGGGCGGGAGCCUGAACCAGCCAAGUCGCGUGAGGGAAGACGGUCCUAUGGAUUGUAAACCUCUUUUGCCGGGGAGCAACGGGGUCCUUGCGAGGGCCUAAUGAGAGUACCCGGAGAAAAAGCAUCGGCUAACUCCGUGCCAGCAGCCGCGGUAAUACGGAGGAUGCGAGCGUUAUCCGGAUUUAUUGGGUUUAAAGGGUGCGUAGGCGGGCUGUUAAGUCAGCGGUCAAAUGUCGGGGCUCAACCCCGGCCUGCCGUUGAAACUGGUGGCCUCGAGUGGGCGAGAAGUAUGCGGAAUGCGUGGUGUAGCGGUGAAAUGCAUAGAUAUCACGCAGAACUCCGAUUGCGAAGGCAGCAUACCGGCGCCCGACUGACGCUGAGGCACGAAAGCGUGGGUAUCGAACAGGAUUAGAUACCCUGGUAGUCCACGCAGUAAACGAUGAAUGCUAGCUGUCCGGGGCUUCGGUCCUGG